GAAGAAAUGACCAUGGUGGCCUUCUCAGACCCUGUGGGAAAGGACUUUACCCAUCCAGUGAAAGUGUCUACCCAGACCAAGAGAUUGCUUCUUGACCUGUGCAACUUUCUGAUUUGAUGAGUUCAACAGAAACCAACUCAAGGGAGAAGAAUAAAGACAUUGUUGAACUUAGACUUUGACAAAAUGCAUAUUGGAUAUCUAAAUAGAGAUAUCAAGAAAUGAAGAUAUGAGUUUCCAGUUCCAGGGAGAAAUUCAGACUAGAAAUAUAAAUUUAGGAAUUUUAAAGUUAGUGGUCACAUUUAAAGCUGCAGAAUACAAAGAGAUCACCUGUGUGAGAGAACUGAGUCCUGAAACAUACCCAUGUUUAAAGAUCUGGGAGGUGUAGAGGAACUAUCAAAGGAGACUGAGAAGGAGCAGCCGGUGAGGUGUGCAGAAAAACAAGAUAAGCAAAAAGAAAAGUAAGAGAUACGGAACUGGACUUCCCUUUGGCAAAAAAUUUAGAAAAUGAUAAUUAGGAACAUCGAUUUCAGCAUACCUUAAGCCUUCUGAACAAAGAUUUGUCGAUACUCUCUUGGAAAAGUAUUUUUAAAAAUAGAAUAUUUUUAAACUUUCAUCCCAAUAGAAAGCCAAAGUUAAUGAGGAAACUUGGAUUCAUUUCACAAAAUGUUGCUUGUAAGCUACUUUGCUUGGCUACACGUUCCCUGGACAGACCCAAAAGACCAGGGUAAAUUCCAAUACUG
RNAcentral lists this small RNA (740 nucleotides) under Pongo abelii (Sumatran orangutan). RNAcentral's name for it is "sense overlapping". The record is from RNAcentral. Lineage: Eukaryota; Metazoa; Chordata; Mammalia; Primates; Hominidae.